GAUGAACGCUAGCGGCAGGCCUAACACAUGCAAGUCGAGGGAGAAGCCCUUUCGGGGGCCGAAACCGGCGCACGGGUGCGUAACGCGUAUGCAACCUACCUUUCACAGGGGGAUAGCCCGAAGAAAUUUGGAUUAAUACCCCAUAAUAUUAUUGGAUGGCAUCAUUUGAUAAUUAAAACUGCGGUGGUGAAAGAUGGGCAUGCGUCCUAUUAGCUAGUUGGAGUGGUAACGGCACCCCAAGGCUACGAUAGGUAGGGGUCCUGAGAGGGAGAUCCCCCACACUGGUACUGAGACAGGGACCAGACUCCUACGGGAGGCAGCAGUGAGGAAUAUUGGUCAAUGGUCGGAAGACUGAACCAGCCAUGCCGCGUGCAGGAAGAAUGCCUUAUGGGUUGUAAACUGCUUUUAUAUGGGAAGAAUAAGGCGUACGUGUACGUUGAUGACGGUACCAUAUGAAUAAGCAUCGGCUAGCUCCGUG
RNAcentral lists this ribosomal RNA (478 nucleotides) under uncultured bacterium. Its description in RNAcentral is "partial 16S ribosomal RNA". It matches the Rfam family "Bacterial small subunit ribosomal RNA", at positions 28 to 507 of the family's 1533-position model. The record is from RNAcentral.